CCUACGGGGGUCAGCAGUGGGGGAUAUUGCACAAUGGGGGAAACCCUGAUGCAGCGACGCCGCGUGUGGGAAGACGGUCCUCUGGAUUGUAAACCACUGUCCCCAGGGACGAAGAUGACGGUACCUGGGGAGGAAGCUCCGGCUAACUACGUGCCAGCAGCCGCGGUAAUACGUAGGGAGCGAGCGUUGUCCGGAAUUACUGGGUGUAACGGGAGCGUAGGCGGGACUGCAAGUUGGGUGUCAAAUCUACCGGCUCAACCGGUAGCCGCACUCAAAACUGCAGUUCUUGAGUGAAGUAGAGGCAGGCGGAAUUCCUAGUGUAGCGGUGAAAUGCGUAGAUAUUAGGAGGAACACCAGUGGCGAAGGCGGCCUGCUGGGCUUUUACUGACGCUGAGGCUCGAAAGUGUGGGGAGCAAACAGGAUUAGAUACCCCGGUAGUC
This 440-nucleotide ribosomal RNA is filed under the name uncultured bacterium. RNAcentral describes it as "partial 16S ribosomal RNA". It matches the Rfam family "Bacterial small subunit ribosomal RNA", at positions 338 to 795 of the family's 1533-position model. The record is from RNAcentral.